AAGCUCGUAGUUGAAUUUCGGGGUUAGUAGGUUGGUCAUGCCUCUGGUAUGUACUGGUCUCACUGAUUCCUCCUUCCUUAUGAACCGUAAUGCCAUUAAUUUGGUGUUGCGGGGAAUUUGGACUGUUACUUUGAAAAAACUUAGAGUGUUUAAAGCAAGCUAACGCUUGAAUACAUUAGCAUGGAAUAAUGAAAUAGGACGUUCGAUCUUAUUUUGUUGGUUUCUUAGGAUUGACGUAAUGAUUAAUAGGGAUAGUUGGG
Molecule: ribosomal RNA, 260 nt
Filed under: uncultured Glomus
Lineage: Eukaryota; Fungi; Glomeromycota; Glomeromycetes; Glomerales; Glomeraceae
Description: partial 18S ribosomal RNA
Rfam family: Eukaryotic small subunit ribosomal RNA
Source: RNAcentral